UACGGAGGGUGCAAGCGUUAUCCGGAUUCACUGGGUUUAAAGGGUGCGUAGGUGGGCAGGUAAGUCCGUGGUGAAAUCUCUGAGCUUAACUCAGAAACUGCCGUGGAUACUAUUUGUCUUGAAUAUUGUGGAGGUGAGCGGAAUAUGUCAUGUAGCGGUGAAAUGCUUAGGUAUGACAUAGAACACCAAUUGCGAAGGCAGCUCACUACACAAUUAUUGACGCUGAGGCACGAAAGCGUGGGGAUCAAACAGG
Molecule: ribosomal RNA, 253 nt
Filed under: uncultured bacterium
Lineage: Bacteria
Description: partial 16S ribosomal RNA
Rfam family: Bacterial small subunit ribosomal RNA
Source: RNAcentral